AACGAACGCUAGCGGCGUGCCUAACACAUGCAAGUCGAGCGAGAAAAGACUUCGGUCUAAGUAAAGCGGCGCACGGGUGAGUAACACGUGGGUAACGUACCCUCGGGUGGGGGAUAACAGACCGAAAGGUUUGCUAAUACCGCAUCAGACCACAGUCCUCGCGGGGACAGGGGUCAAAGGGGGCUGUCGCAAGGCAGCUCUCGCCUGAGGAUCGGCCCGCGGACCAUUAGCUAGUUGGUAGGGUAACGGCCUACCAAGGCUACGAUGGUUAGCUGGUCUAAGAGGAUGGUCAGCCACACUGGAACUGAGACACGGUCCAGACUCCUACGGGAGGCAGCAGCAAGGAAUUUUGCGCAAUGGGCGAAAGCCUGACGCAGCAACGCCGCGUGGGGGGAAGAAGGGCCCUUCGGGUUGUAAACCCCGUUUUCGUCGAGGGAAGGAAGAAUCUGACGGUACCUCGCGAAUAAGCCACGGCUAACUACGUGCCAGCAGCCGCGGUAAUGUAGUCG
RNAcentral lists this ribosomal RNA (509 nucleotides) under uncultured bacterium. Its description in RNAcentral is "bacterial SSU rRNA". It matches the Rfam family "Bacterial small subunit ribosomal RNA", at positions 29 to 533 of the family's 1533-position model. The record is from RNAcentral.